GCGAGAGUGCUGGAAUUGGCAGACAGGCACGUUUGAGGGGCGUGUGGGCUAAGCUCGUGCGGGUUCAAGUCCCGCCUCUCGCACCA
RNAcentral lists this transfer RNA (86 nucleotides) under Bacillota bacterium. RNAcentral describes it as "Firmicutes bacterium (anaerobic digester metagenome) tRNA-Leu". It matches the Rfam family "tRNA". From Rfam's summary of the family: Transfer RNA (tRNA) molecules are approximately 80 nucleotides in length. Their secondary structure includes four short double-helical elements and three loops (D, anti-codon, and T loops). Further hydrogen bonds mediate the characteristic L-shaped molecular structure. tRNAs have two regions of fundamental functional importance: the anti-codon, which is responsible for specific mRNA codon recognition, and the 3' end, to which the tRNAs corresponding amino acid is attached (by aminoacyl-tRNA synthetases). tRNAs cope with the degeneracy of the genetic code in two manners: having more than one tRNA (with a specific anti-codon) for a particular amino acid; and 'wobble' base-pairing, i.e. permitting non-standard base-pairing at the 3rd anti-codon position. The record is from RNAcentral. Lineage: Bacteria; Bacillati; Bacillota.